AGAGUUUGAUCCUGGCUCAGGAUGAACGCUGGCGGCGUGCUUAACACAUGCAAGUCGAACGAACCUUAGGGUUAGUGGCGGACGGGUGAGUAACGCGUGAGAAUCUGCCCUCAGGAGGGGGAUAACGGCUGGAAACGGCCGCUAAUACCCCAUAUGCUGAGAGGUGAAAUGAAUUUCGCCUGAGGAUGAGCUCGCGUCUGAUUAGCUAGUUGGUGGGGUAAGAGCCUACCAAGGCAUCGAUCAGUAGCUGGUCUGAGAGGAUGAUCAGCCACACUGGGACUGAGACACGGCCCAGACUCCUACGGGAGGCAGCAGUGGGGAAUUUUCCGCAAUGGGCGAAAGCCUGACGGAGCAACGCCGCGUGAGGGAUGAAGGCCUCUGGGCUGUAAACCUCUUUUAUCGAGGAAGAAGAUCUGACGGUACUUGAUGAAUAAGCCACGGCUAAUUCCGUGCCAGCAGCCGCGGUAAUACGGGAGUGGCAAGCGUUAUCCGGAAUUAUUGGGCGUAAAGCGUCCGCAGGCGGCCUGAUAAGUCUGUUGUCAAAGCGUGGAGCUCAACUCCAUUUCGGCAAUGGAAACUGUGAGGCUUGAGUGUGGUAGGGGCAGAGGGAAUUCCCGGUGUAGCGGUGAAAUGCGUAGAUAUCGGGAAGAACACCAGUGGCGAAGGCGCUCUGCUGGGCCAUAACUGACGCUCAUGGACGAAAGCCAGGGGAGCGAAAGGGAUUAGAUACCCCUGUAGUCCUGGCCGUAAACGAUGAACACUAGGUGUCGGGGGAAUCGACCCCCUCGGUGUCGUAGCCAACGCGUUAAGUGUUCCGCCUGGGGAGUACGCACGCAAGUGUGAAACUCAAAGGAAUUGACGGGGGCCCGCACAAGCGGUGGAGUAUGUGGUUUAAUUCGAUGCAACGCGAAGAACCUACCAGGGUUUGACAUCCUGCGAAUCCCUUGGAAACUUGGGAGUGCCUUCGGGAGCGCAGAGACAGGUGGUGUAUGGCUGUCGUCAGCUCGUGUCGUGAGAUGUUGGGUUAAGUCCCGCAACGAGCGCAACCCACGUCUUUAGUUGCCAGCAUUGAGUUGGGCACUCUAGAGAGACCGCCGGUGAUAAACCGGAGGAAGGUGUGGAUGACGUCAAGUCAUCAUGCCCCUUACAUCCUGGGCUACACACGUACUACAAUGCUACGGACAAAGGGCAGCAAACUCGCGAGAGCUAGCAAAUCCCAUAAACCGUGGCUCAGUUCAGAUCGUAGGCUGCAACUCGCC
RNAcentral lists this ribosomal RNA (1259 nucleotides) under metagenome. RNAcentral describes it as "bacterial SSU rRNA". It matches the Rfam family "Bacterial small subunit ribosomal RNA", at positions 8 to 1316 of the family's 1533-position model. The record is from RNAcentral.